UACGUAGGGUGCGAGCGUUGUCCGGAAUUAUUGGGCGUAAAGAGCUCGUAGGCGGCUUGUCGCGUCGGAUGUGAAAGCCCGGGGCUUAACUCCGGGUCUGCAUUCGAUACUGCUCUGGCUAGAGUCCGGUAGGGGAGCGUGGAAUUCCUGGUGUAGCGGUGAAAUGCGCAGAUAUCAGGAGGAACACCAGCGGCGAAGGCGGCGCUCUGGGCCGGUACUGACACUGAGGAGCGAAAGCGUGGGUAGCAAACAGG
Molecule: ribosomal RNA, 254 nt
Filed under: uncultured bacterium
Lineage: Bacteria
Description: partial 16S ribosomal RNA
Rfam family: Bacterial small subunit ribosomal RNA
Source: RNAcentral